CCACGGGGGGCUGCAGUGGGGAAUAUUGGACAAUGGGGGGAACCCUGAUCCAGCCAUGCCGCGUGUGUGAAGAAGGCCCUCGGGUUGUAAAGCACUUUCAGUGAGGAAGAACGCCUGGUGGUUAAUACCCAUCAGGAAAGACAUCACUCACAGAAGAAGCACCGGCUAACUCCGUGCCAGCAGCCGCGGUAAUACGGAGGGUGCGAGCGUUAAUCGGAAUUACUGGGCGUAAAGCGCGCGUAGGUGGCUUGAUAAGCCGGUUGUGAAAGCCCCGGGCUCAACCUGGGAACGGCAUCCGGAACUGUCAAGCUAGAGUGCAGGAGAGGAAGGUAGAAUUCCCGGUGUAGCGGUGAAAUGCGUAGAGAUCGGGAGGAAUACCAGUGGCGAAGGCGGCCUUCUGGACUGACACUGACACUGAGGUGCGAAAGCGUGGGUAGCAAACAGGAUUAGAUACCCUAGUAGUC
Molecule: ribosomal RNA, 464 nt
Filed under: Vreelandella stevensii
Lineage: Bacteria; Pseudomonadati; Pseudomonadota; Gammaproteobacteria; Oceanospirillales; Halomonadaceae
Description: partial 16S ribosomal RNA
Rfam family: Bacterial small subunit ribosomal RNA
Source: RNAcentral